UCCCUGCUCCUUGCACACACCGCCCGUCAAACCACCCGAGUGAGGUCUUGAUGAGGCUGCGGUAUACGCCGUGGUCGAAUCUGGGUUUCGCGAAGGGGGGUU
This 102-nucleotide ribosomal RNA is filed under the name uncultured bacterium. RNAcentral's name for it is "partial 16S ribosomal RNA". It matches the Rfam family "Archaeal small subunit ribosomal RNA", at positions 1327 to 1429 of the family's 1478-position model. The record is from RNAcentral.